This 475-nucleotide ribosomal RNA is filed under the name Theileria sinensis. RNAcentral describes it as "SSU rRNA". It matches the Rfam family "Eukaryotic small subunit ribosomal RNA", at positions 528 to 1040 of the family's 1831-position model. The record is from RNAcentral. Lineage: Eukaryota; Apicomplexa; Aconoidasida; Piroplasmida; Theileriidae.
UUUGCACUUUCAGAAUUCAAUUGGAGGGCAAGUCUGGUGCCAGCAGCCGCGGUAAUUCCAGCUCCAAUAGCGUAUAUUAAAAUUGUUGCAGUUAAAAAGCUCGUAGUUGAAUUUCUGCUGCAUCGUCGCAUCUCUUGCUGAGUGCUUCGUUUCGGCUUAUUUCGGAUUGAUUUUUUCUUUCCGGAUGAUUACUUUGAGAAAAUUAGAGUGCUCAAAGCAGGCUUUUGCCUUGAAUAGUUUAGCAUGGAAUAAUAAAGUAGGACUUUGGUUCUAUUUUGUUGGUUUUAGGUACCAAAGUAAUGGUUAAUAGGAACAGUUGGGGGCAUUCGUAUUUAACUGUCAGAGGUGAAAUUCUUAGAUUUGUUAAAGACGAACUACUGCGAAAGCAUUUGCCAAGGAUGUUUUCAUUAAUCAAGAACGAAAGUUAGGGGAUCGAAGACGAUCAGAUACCGUCGUAGUCCUAACCAUAAACUAA